CCUACGGGUGGCAGCAGUGAGGAAUAUUGGUCAAUGGACGAGAGUCUGAACCAGCCACGUAGCGUGAAGGAUGAAUGCCCUAUGGGUGUUAAACUUCUUUUAUAUGGGAGUAAAAUGUUCCACGUGUGGGAUUUUGUAUGUACCAUAUGAAUAAGGAUCGGCUAACUCCGUGCCAGCAGCCGCGGUAAUACGGAGGAUCCGAGCGUUAUCCGGAUUUAUUGGGUGUAAAGGGAGCGUAGGUGGAUUGUUAAGUCAGUCGUGAAAGUUUGCGGCUCAACCGUAAGAUUGCAGUUGAAACUGGCAGUCUUGAGUACAGUAGAGGUGGGCGGAAUUCGUGGUGUAGCGGUGAAAUGCUUAGAUAUCACGAAGAACUCCGAUUGCGAAGGCAGCUUACUGGACUGCAACUGACACUGAGGCUCGAAAGUGUGGGUAUCAAACAGGAUUAGAUACCCCGGUAGUC
This 460-nucleotide ribosomal RNA is filed under the name uncultured bacterium. Its description in RNAcentral is "partial 16S ribosomal RNA". It matches the Rfam family "Bacterial small subunit ribosomal RNA", at positions 338 to 795 of the family's 1533-position model. The record is from RNAcentral.